UAAGGAAUGUAAGCAUCAAUCUCCGUGGGACAAAAGUACUUUGCAACAUUGCAUUUGGAAAUCCCACAAAGAUUAGCCGAGGUUCACAGGAGACGACGCAAAGUGUCCAGGAAUCUGGGUGUUUCGUAAGUCUCCGCCGUCGUUCAGAAACAAAAUAGCAAACAGACAAUUGGAGCAAUGUGAGCGGAUGAUAAAUCACUGCCUGAUGAAAAGAAAACAUAACCAGGGAGGAAAAAUUAAAAACAGAAACCAGAGCAUAAGAUAGAAAAAGAAAAAUCAAUUUCACAUUAUUCACGUGCACUCAAUAAAAACUGGCAAAGCAAUUGAUUUAACUGCAGUGUUUUAAGACACUACGUUCUGAGCUGCUGUGACCCAAUUUCUUGACUCAAUUAGAGUUAAGCUAACGUUAAAACUGUUUAAAUCCACAGCUGUAUCCAUUGCACUUAUCAAAGGUCCAUUGUGCAAAGGAGGGCUAAACUGAGCAAUGUAAUGCCAUUAACUGCUUAUUCGCUAGACUUAUUCCAACUGCGAUGAAAACAAAGCCGGUGCUCACCAAAGCCUGAGCACUUUUUGACAUAGUCAAUCAGUUCUUUUAUUCACGUUAAUAACAUGGGAGACAUUAAGAAAAGAGACAGAAGGUUAUAUCAAGACAUUUAUGUGGAUGAAAGUAAAAGAAAAAAAAGAAAACAAGCUCAAGAAGAAUUCAAUUGUCUAUAUCAGAAAUGUGUUUUCACCCUAAACCAUUCAGUGCUUAACAACAGUAAAUGAUUACAUACAUACAGGAACCCAAAAUGUCAUCACUGAACCGGUCUCUUUUUUUCAGUGAGGACAAAGUAAAAAAAAAGUAUUUUAUGUUGUUUGGCAACAGGGAAAAGUAAAAGGCAAAAGGAUCUCUGACACCUGAAUGAGCUGCCAACACAAAGUGCAGCAUUUGUAGCUUAAGCAGCAAGAUGCAGUUGGAUUUAUCCAAGUCCCCUCAUGGACAAAAUGUCUUCCACUAGCCUUGCAUUGGUUUGUCGCUACCUGUAGCAGUAGAAACGAUCUGGACGACACCAGUUGAUACUCGACCGAUCUACACGACUUUGGCUCGUACGAGACAUCGACUCUUUUACUUGAGCGGUUUUUUUUAAGCUCUGUACAGCAACGUAGUUUUCGAUCUUCAGUUAUUCUCAAAAUAACCAAUUCUGUAAAAUAAAAGCUCUGCAAGCAUCCGGCCUCCUGCAAACGACAGGCACACAAGCCCACAUGGACGGGCCGGUGCUCCUGCACUGUAAAUACCUGACGCACCAUAUAGUAUAUCGAGGCUUCACUUGCCGUCUAAUGUGCAUACUCUUGCUAUGAACUUUUUGCUUAUAUAUUACAUUUGCAUGAUCCCAUGCUCCACCUCAGUGUUCGGGAAUUUGUAGACUUCCUUUCACUCCUUUCACUUUAUUUGUUUGUUUCAGUAUUUUUUUUUUGGGAGAAUUCAAAGUUCAUUCGGGAUCCAGUUAGUCAAAUUCCUUCUGAGAUUCCUCCUGUUGAGCCACGCCUCCCUUACUGUGGUCACUAGAGUGCAGCAAUCAAAGAGACUUAAUCAAAGCUGUGAUAGAAUCGGGGGGGUUACUAUAUUUUGUAUUGAGGAUCCAAAGCUGUUUGUAGCCAUUUAGGGUUUUAGAAGAAAUAACAGAGUGGUCCACUAGUUUCGCCUCAAAUCUUCUAAGAAAAGGUUUCUCUCGUUUUUGCAAUGCAGUGAAUUGACCAAACCAUUGUUUUUUGCCACAAAUGUAUACUUAAAUUAUUUCCCAGACCAAACUAUUGUGUAUUAUAUAUUUCUCUACAGUAUAAAAUCCUAUCCAAGUGAACAUUAGUUGGAAUUCAUUUGCUUGAUUAUGCUGUUUACUUUUCUACAGUUGACACUGCAUCACUUCAGAACAAUAAUGCAACUUGGAAAAAGUAGUGCCGACUUGCUGUUUGUUGGAAUUUACGGGAACCUGCAACAGUUGAUAAAAUAAUCUAAAUUUGAACAAUUUUGAGAAAUUAAAACAUUUAGGAUCUAGGAAACAAGGAACCACUGACAGGGUCCCACAGUAGCUUAUCCCCAUUCUGAGACGCAGUGUUUUAGGGAGCAUAAGUGAUGUGGGAAUGAUCACAAAUUGUCUUUGUUGCACCUAUAAACGCACCAAACAUUGAUAGAAAACAGCAAACUACCGGGUCUACAACAAAAAUGGUUUUAUAUCCAAGCCAAUGCGAGUGGUUCAUUUAAAAAUGACCAUGAUAAGAGGGGGAUUGCUGCACACUGGAUUAACUUGCAAACCAAAGAAACUUUUUAAACUCCGUGGAUUUCUUUUUUUUUUGUGAUUUGCACAAAAUGAGCCCUAAAAGCAGCUUACAUCUUAUUGUUGGUCGGUACAAUCCAAAACCUGGGCAAUACAUCUGGAUAUGCAUACAUUUUUUAACAGUUAUCAUAUCAGACAGGGCACCUUAAAGCAAAAUCAUUUUAAUUUUUUCAUUCAUAAUAGACCAGGACAAUCCAUCCUGCCUGUUGUUAUUUCACUGCCGUACCCACAGGCAGCAGAAGCACCUCAGUGCGGCUGACACACUGUUCUGACUAAAGCUCUUGUAGUUUAUUUUGAUCGUUUAAUCCAAAAACAUUCCCUUUUUUAAUUGUUUGUUGUUUCAAACAUUUUAAAACGGGGCUAUGCUCUUGUGCCAUUUUCACAUGUAUGUAAGUAUGUCUACAUUGAAUGCUACAUUCAUCAGCUUUCCUUUUUUUGUCGCAAGGUAAAACCAAAACAACCUUUUUCCUUUUUUCUCCCUCCUUGAAAGCAAGAAUAACGAGACUGGUAUGUUUUUACUUUCAAUGGCAGGCGCUUCGCAGGUUCAAUUUGUUUCUUCUCUCCAGGAUCUUGCACUUAACACAUGUAGCAAUACCUACAGGAUGGGGAAUUGUGUGAUUCACCAGUAUUUGUUCAAGCGGAAUAUGACAUUUUAUUUCUAGAUAUUGUUUGACUUUGUAUAAAAAAACAUAUACUGUACAGAUGCAAAAGUAUAUUAUAACAAAAAACUUUUAGAAAAAUAUUUAUUUUUACUGUUUUUUGUAAUUUAGACACAAUACUGUAGCUCCUCUAUUGCCAGACUUACUGGAAGUGCCUCUCGAUAAUGUAUUACAAAGUAACUAUACAAAAUUAUUAUUAGAACCUGUCACUAGCAGAGCAGUGUUGAUGUUGUAAUGUGAAUAUUGUUGAAUAAUACGAUUUAUAAAUGCUGCGCAUGUGUUUGUCUGGUUCUUUACUCAUUUCUCAAAGUAUCAGUUGG
Long non-coding RNA from Gasterosteus aculeatus aculeatus (three-spined stickleback), 3294 nucleotides. The record is from Ensembl. NCBI's taxonomy places the organism in Eukaryota, Metazoa, Chordata, Actinopteri, Perciformes, Gasterosteidae.